This 505-nucleotide ribosomal RNA is filed under the name uncultured Geobacter sp. RNAcentral describes it as "bacterial SSU rRNA". It matches the Rfam family "Bacterial small subunit ribosomal RNA", at positions 335 to 831 of the family's 1533-position model. The record is from RNAcentral. Lineage: Bacteria; Pseudomonadati; Thermodesulfobacteriota; Desulfuromonadia; Geobacterales; Geobacteraceae.
ACUCCUACGGGAGGCAGCAGUGGGGAAUUUUGCGCAAUGGGCGAAAGCCUGACGCAGCAACGCCGCGUGAGUGAUGAAGGCUUUCGGGUCGUAAAGCUCUGUCGAGGGGAAAGAAGUGUAUUGUGGCUAAUAUCCACGAUACUUGACGGUACCCCUAAAGGAAGCACCGGCUAACUCCGUGCCAGCAGCCGCGGUAAUACGGGGGGUGCAAGCGUUGUUCGGAAUUAUUGGGCGUAAAGAGCGUGUAGGCGGUUUGUUUAGUCUGAUGUGAAAGCCCUGGGCUCAACCCGGGAAGUGCAUUGGAAACUGGCAGACUUGAAUACGGGAGAGGGUAGUGGAAUUCCUGGUGUAGGAGUGAAAUCCGUAGAUAUUAGGAGGAACACCGGUGGCGAAGGCGGCUGCCUGGACCGAUAUUGACGCUGAGACGCGAAAGCGUGGGUAGCAAACAGGAUUAGAUACCCUGGUAGUCCACGCCGUAAACGAUGAGAACUAGGUGUCGCGGGUA